RNAcentral lists this small RNA (663 nucleotides) under Pan troglodytes (chimpanzee). Its description in RNAcentral is "retained intron". The record is from RNAcentral. Lineage: Eukaryota; Metazoa; Chordata; Mammalia; Primates; Hominidae.
ACAUUCAAACCAUAGCAGGUGCAAAAUAAGAGACCUUAGUUUUAAGACAGGUUAUCCUGUGAUACAGAAGAAUUUAGUUAUUACCUAAUAUUUAAAACUUCUAAGCCAAGCAUUCUGUUUGUGGUAAAGAUUUCUCUUAACUGUUAGAUAUGGCAGAGUGAAUGUGUAACUAAUUUUAGUGUUGUCUUUGCAGUGUAUGCUGAUGGUAGCAUAUGUUUAGAUAUCCUUCAGAAUCGAUGGAGUCCAACAUAUGAUGUAUCUUCUAUCUUAACAUCAAUUCAGUCUCUGCUGGAUGAACCGAAUCCUAACAGUCCAGCCAAUAGCCAGGCAGCACAGCUUUAUCAGGAAAACAAACGAGAAUAUGAGAAAAGAGUUUCGGCCAUUGUUGAACAAAGCUGGAAUGAUUCAUAAUAGACAACUGGUCUGUUAAUCUUUUUCAUCAUUGUUGUGUAUAAUUUACCUCUCAGUAGAAAGGCUAACAAAUUUUAAGUGCCACAGGUUUUAAGGAUUCUGCAGAAAAAAAAGAAAAAAGUCCUUCAGUUUAGAACCUACAAAAGCUUGUGUAUCUUGAUUAAUGUACUUUUUAUUGCAUGGUGUGAACUAAGUUAUUGCUGCAUAAAUUUGUAAUAUAUCCUGUUUGUAUUUUUUUCCAAGUGUAUAAUG